This is an RNA transcript of Hippoglossus stenolepis (Pacific halibut), 4146 nucleotides long. It is a transcript of the gene named Janus kinase and microtubule interacting protein 3, with no coding region annotated. The record is from RefSeq and is a predicted model, not a curated record. Lineage: Eukaryota; Metazoa; Chordata; Actinopteri; Pleuronectiformes; Pleuronectidae. The transcript has 25 exons.
GCACCGACACACACACUGACAGCAACAAAAGCUAACUGCUAACACACACAGAGAGACCGAGAGAGAGAGAGAGAGACAGGUGGAGGGAGGCUGAUUCUGGCUGUGCACACAAACACACACACUGAGCUACAGUGAAGCUAACUGCUGAUAGCAUGUUGUGGAGGGGAAGCUAACCUAUUGACACACUCACACACACACACACACACAGCAAUGCAGUGCUGGAGGCUUUCUAUUGGAUGAUGUAGUCAACCUUCAGAUUGACAGACAGCUCAGUGGGUGGGGCCAAGCCUGCAGGUGCAGGUGGUAAUGUCAAAGCGAGGAAUUGGGGGGCGGGGGAAAGGGGAGCGACCGGACGCCAUGGCAACCCUUCAAGCAGCCAACGAUGAGCUUCGAGCCAAACUGACAGACAUCCAAAUAGAACUACAACAAGAGAAGAAUAAGGUGAGUCGUCUGGAGAGAGAGAAGAGUCAGGAGCUGAAGGCGGAGCAUCACCGAGCAACGGUUGCUGUGACGGAACUAAAAACCAAACUCCACGAGGAGAAGCAAAAGGAACUGGCAGUUACUAGAGAGACGUUACUACGACAACACGAGAUGGAAUUGAUGAGGGUCAUCAAGAUCAAAGACGGAGAGAUUCAACGUCUGAAUGGACUCGUGCUAACGCUGCGGGACGGGUCCACGGACAAGGUGAGGAGCGCUCUGCUGGCGGAAGUGGAAGAGGCACGGAGGAGCUGGGAGGCAGAGCGUUGUCGCCUCCAGCAGGAAGUUCAGGAGCUAAGAGGAGCUAAGAGGUUCACAGAGGAGGCUCUGAUGUCAACUCAGCAGGCCUGUCAGGCCCGAGCAGCCGAUCUGCGAUCAGCUCAUCACCAACACCAGGAGGUGCUGAACAGAACCAAGAGAGACUGUGAGAGGGAGAUCCGCCGACUGAUGGAUGAGAUAAAACUGAAGGACCGAGCGGUCAGUGUUUUGGAUAAAGCGCUGGGGCUGCAGGCUGGACAUGCUCACCGCCUGCAGCUGCAGACUCAGGCAGCAGAGCAGCAAAUCGCAGCCCUGAGAGACGCCCAGAGGGUGGGGACAAACCAGCCCAGUCACACCCCUAGCCCCACCCCUAACACUGCUCCUCACAUUUCGCAGGAGGACCGGGACACCCGGAGGUUUCAGUUGAAAAUUGCUGAGCUCAGCGCCAUCGUCAGGAAGCUGGAGGAUCGAAACGCUCUGCUGUCUGAAGAACGCAACGAACUGCUGAAGCGUCUGCGAGAGGCUGAGAGUCAGUUUCUUCCUCUACUGGACAAAAACAAAAGACUGAGCAGGAAGAACGAGGAACUGGCGCUUGCACUGCGUCGCCUCGACAACAAGCUUCAAUUUGUCACACAGGAGAACCUGGAGAUGGUAACUAUGAGAAGACCCAGUUCAUUAAAUGACCUGGACCGCAGCCACUCCACCAGUUACCAUGGUUACAGCCAGGAGGAGAGAGAAAUGGAGUUUCUGCGGUUACAGGUUCUGGAGCAACAACACAUCAUCGAUGACCUGUCCAAGGCUCUGGAGACGGCUGGUUAUGUAAAGAAUGUUAUAGAGAGAGACAUGUUACUGAGAUACAGACGUCAGGACUCAGUGAGGAGGAAACGAACCUUCAGAGCCUGCAGGGUCAUAGAGACGUUCUUUGGUUAUGAUGAAGAGGCGUCGGUUGACUCUGAUGGAUCGUCUUUGUCUUUUCACACUGACAGAACUCCAGACACUGAACCAGAGGAGACGUCUGUGCGUGAGGAGGCGGAGCUUCGUUACCGUCAGCUGACUCAGGAGUAUCAGGCGCUGCAGCGAGCUUAUGCUCUCCUGACGGAGACAAGUGGAGGAAACUACGAUGCAGAGAACGAGAUCAAGACAAGAGAGCAGCUGCUGACAGAAAUUAACCGAUAUCAAAGUCGAGUCAGUGACCUGGAGACAGCGCUAACACAACAAGGACAGGAUGUGCAGUGGGUGGAGCAGAAACAGUCUCUCUAUCAGAGGAACCAGGAGCUCGUUGAAAAGGUGAAGCUGAUGGAGGCUGAAGAGCUGCGACUGAAAAACGACAUUCAAGACGUCAGAGAUCAAAACGAACUGCUGGAGUUCAGGAUCCUAGAGCUGGAGGAGAGGGAGCGACGUUCACCUGCCAUUAACUUCCAACAACUCCAUUUCCCAGAAGGCCUCAGUCCUCUGCAGAUCUACUGUGAAGCAGAGGGAGUCACAGAAAUUGUGAUCAGUGAGUUGAUGAAGAAACUGGACAUUCUGGGAGAUAACGCCGUAAGUAAUCUGUCCAAUGAGGAGCAGGUGGUGGUGAUUCAUGCCAGGACUGUACUCACGUUGGCAGAGAAGUGGCUGGAGUCCAUUGAAGUGACGAAGUCGUCUCUGCAGCAGAAGAUGUUGGACAUUGAGAGUGAGAAGGAUCUGUUCAGUAAACAGAAAGGUUAUCUGGACGAGGAGCUGGACUACAGGAAGCAGUCGAUGGAUCAGGCUCACAAGAGGAUCCUGGAGCUGGAGGCCAUGUUGUUUGAGGCUCUGCGGCAGGAGGAGUCAUCCAGGAUAGAGGGAUUCAAGAUGGACGACAGUCGUCUCUCUGAAACACUGACGGAGGAGGAGAGGGAGGGGCUAAGGAGAGCCAUGGACCAAUGGAAACGAAGUGUGAUGUGCGAACUGAGAGAACGAGAUGCUCAGAUCCUCCGAAAUAGGAUGGAGAUACUGCAGCUGACACAACAGAGAAACAAGGAGCUGGAGGAGUUCAUAGAAAACCAGAAACGACAGAUCAAAGAACUGGAGGAGAAGUUUCUCUUUUUGUUUCUCUUCUUCUCUUUGGCCUUCAUCCUCUGGUCCUAACAGCAGCUGAAAGACUACUACCCCCCCACCUGACAACACACCCAUGUCUGCCGUCUACAAACCAAUCAGAGUCAAGUAUAGGUAGACUCCGCCCACGUAGGUGAUGACGACAGGACUCAGCUUUUUUCUCAGAGGCUUGUGUCAGCAAGGAUCCAGGGUUUGGAACCAGCAGCUCACUGACGGAGGCACAUUGACCUGCCCCCACUCCUCAGCCAAUCAGAUCAGAGUCCAGCUGUCACCUGACUGCACCAUAACAUCCUCCCAGAAUUCCACUGUGCUGCGUCUGAUGAAGAGAAUGGUUUCCUGUUAGCUAUUUUUGACCUGAUGUGCAGCUGACAAACACAUGGUGGCGUCAGUGAGUCACUGGAUUAUCAUGGUGCUGGACUGAAAUAUUUAUUCAGUCUGUUUUUAACUAACCAGCUGUUCUCAGAAACUAACCUAACUGGAAACAUCUCUAGUUAGUUCCAUCACUCAGCUGGUUGACCUCAGUGUUGACGUUGUUGUUAGUUAACUGUUAAUGAAGGAGUCAGAACUCAGACGUGUUGAGAACAAAAAUGAUGGAAAACUAAUGCAAGUUAAUUAAACUUUGUUCUGAUUGGCUGUUCCACCUGCGGACUGGAGCAUUGUGUAACUUCACUCGUGGAUCUGAGGUGACAAUGUGUAACCAUCACAUAGUUUUGCAGAGGAAAUGAACUGGAAGAUGAAGCAGUUCAGAAAAAAAUGAAUCUGAACAUUAUCAAUGAUAAUAUUAUUGAAUAAUAUUAUUCUGAUCAGUGAUAAAAACAAGUCAACUGGACUUGGUUGAGUUGAGUCGACUUGUUUAUGUCACUUGGAUUUAACAUAACCUGGAUGACUGAGAAUCUCAGAAAUAUUCUGAUCAGUUUCACAUGAACGGUUCCCGAGUAUUUCAGUGCUUCACAUCAAUAUUAUAUUAUAUUAUAUUAUAUUAUAUUACUGAGAAAAUAAUUUGAUUCUGUAGUGUUUAAACAUAAAAACAUUUUUUAACUUAUUUUCAAAUCAUAUUGAUUUUUUGUUAAAUUUUUUGUUUGUUUUUCAUGUUUCACUUUCGUUAUUUUCAUUUCAAAUGUUGUGGAAAAAGAAAAACAUGAAAAUAUUUAAUAAUCGACUGAAAUAUUGAAUAUUUCUCUGAUUUUAAACCGAAGCAGAAUUAUAACAUGUUUUAAAAAGUGGAUCCUGCUGUUGAACUUUUCUGAUUCCAGAUGGUAUUUUUUUAUCCUGUGAGUCUGAACAUCUUACGAGUCGACAGUUUUCUGUGAUCACAUUAAAACACUGAACAAUAAA